This is a non-coding RNA of Hirsutella rhossiliensis, 104 nucleotides long. Lineage: Eukaryota; Fungi; Ascomycota; Sordariomycetes; Hypocreales; Ophiocordycipitaceae. The record is from the annotation of a RefSeq genome assembly.
GGCAAGAUGGCCGAGUUGGUUAUGGCGCCAGGUUAAGGACAGUCAUCCUUGGCAUCAAUUUCCUGGUGGAGCAAUCCUCCUGGGUUCAAGUCCCAGUCUUGUCA